RNAcentral lists this ribosomal RNA (93 nucleotides) under Lactobacillus helveticus CIRM-BIA 104. The record is from RNAcentral. Lineage: Bacteria; Bacillati; Bacillota; Bacilli; Lactobacillales; Lactobacillaceae.
CACCUGUUCCCAUGCCGAACACAGAAGUUAAGCUUCUUAACGCCGAAAGUAGUUGGUGGGCAACUGCCUGCGAGGAUAGGAAGCUGCCGUGCU